GUCUUCCGUCAAUGGGUCAGUCAUUUAGCACGCCACCGCCAGGUAGCGAUGGCAACGAAUGCGAUGACUGCAACGCAAAAGAGGAGGCAAAGGCCUACCAUAUGCCGCCUGAUUUGCCAUCUCCGGAAAUAGUGGGUGUCGACGAUGCUGACAAACGUAUGUUGGUUCUUACCCCCAAGCUUGCUGCUCGCUUAGCUGAUGCUCUACCGCCGUCGUGCAGGUGCGGUGCGUUUUCUGGCGUUACCAGAUGGUACCUAUUGUAUAGCAGUUAUUUGCAUGGCAAAUCCUUUCAGAGACUUGUGCAGCGCAUUACAUCAAGGGGCCCUACAAUCAUUGUAAUAAAGGUGAAAGACAGCCCGCGUGUUCUCGGCGCCUUCUGUGAAAGUGACUGGCUAACUGUCGCACAGCGCGAAAAAAAUGCAAAAAGCGCGGCUGCAGCGUCCGCUCGUGCUACUCGUGAGGGGCAGAAGCAGCGCGUCACUUCCGCCCCAGAGAAGCAGAGCAACACCUUUUUUGGGAACGUGAACUGCUUCGUGUUCCGAGCAUACGCUGAUGGCACUGAUGAUGUGAGCACCGAAGGGGAGAUCUACCACUCCCACUCGUCCAUGAAUUCUAACUUCAUGUACCUCUUCGAUACCCACCCACUCGAGGAAAAGAUCGGCAUUGGCAUGGGAGGGCAGCCAGGAUAUUACGGAUGGUUUAUCGAUCGCUGGUUGGAAAACGGAGCUUCACAUGGCGCGCGUUGCACAACGUUUCAAAAUCCUCGCCUUUCGUCGACCGAGUCAUGGGUUGUAGAAUCUGUGGAAGUGUACGCGGUCAAAAAAGACAUUGUCGAACAGCUAUUAAUAACCGGCAGCAGUCGCACUAGUGGUGUCUCGUGUGUCAAUGACAAUCCUGACAGCAGGGCCUGCCAGAUGCUGCUAGAAUUGAAUGGUACCCAUGAAUUUAAUCGCCGGGAUCGCACCGAAUGCUAAGUUUGGUAGGUGAUGUGGCGCCGCAAGUGCUUGAUUUCUCCACCAGAUGUGCACGGGAUUCCUGGGGAGGUUAUGCACGACAGCGAAAGGAUUUUUAUUGCGUGUCUGAACAGAUGAAAGUGCUGAGAUUCUCAGUGCAGCGGUUCUCUCCUUACUUCUUCCCGGCUUCUUUUUGAAGACAGUAGUUGUGAUGCUGACCAUUUCUUUUCUUCGUUUCUGGAGGCAUUUUGUCGGGUGCGUUCAUCAAUUAGCUUAUUUUUUAUUUUUUAUCAUUUUUUUUUUCGAUGAACACCAUUUUCACAGAAGACGAUCAAUGGCUAUGGGAAGAUGAAGUUUCAAUUAUUUUUGAGGCCCUUUUUGCUUGCAGUUUACUCUAUUUUGUAAUUCUGGUGUUUGUGCGAUAAGACAAUCUUUUGAGACCUUUUUCUGUUGACUGCCAGUAUGCUCAUGCCACUGUAGGCAGUAUGGACAGACAAAAAAUAAGGCUGUGGAAUCGUUGGAUUUAUAUCUGCUUACAAAGCCUAGAGGUCGCAGCUUAUAUAUAUAUAUAUUCUGCUACGCAAUGCAAGCGAUAUAUACUGACUCCUCUUGUCUCUGGGAUACGAGCAUGAAUCUGAUGGAGUGCCAACCUAUUCUGUACUGAUCUUUUUUCCGUGCCGCGAGAUUUUAUCGCCGCUUUAUUCAGAGCCCAUCUGCUUAUUUUCACAUGCUUAUCAGCUUUUUUUUUGUAACUCUGAAGAAUUAAGUGCUUUGUUUACUCGAUUGAAAGGCUACGUGUUGCUUUCACCGAUUGCCGUCAUUAUUUUUGUACUGUUGCUUUUUUUUUUGAUCCCAGAGUGUACUUCUUUUUCCCCUACACUGGAGCGUAAUAGUGUCGGUGACCUGGAUCGCAAGGGAAAGAAUAUAUGUGAGCAUUGAGAAGUCGCGAUUUUUGUCUGCUGUCUGCUUGCUUGUUUUUCCUCUGGAAGUGCAUUCAUGCACCAGCGUGUGCGGGUGGUUUACAACUUCCUUAUUAUUCAGGGUGCUUGCUUUUCUCCCUUUUCUUCUCUGUUUACACUGAACCUAUCACUAGAUGUGUAUGAGCUGUUUCUGCUGUGAGGAAACGGAAAGAAGAGAAGGCUAGCUCUUCAUUUUCUUUGAAAUUCACUCUUACGGGAAUGUAUUUGCGAGAAAACCAACCACAACUCAAUCGUGGACUUUUUGGUAGAUUGCUGUGAGAGCCUUUCAUAGUCCGUCGUUUGUACACACAGAAAAGCCAAGCAUUGCGAUGGGCCUUAUAGCGCCUUUCACUGAUGCACGACUGCAGUGUUUUACAUGAAAGCUGCACUAGAUAC
RNAcentral lists this unclassified non-coding RNA (2308 nucleotides) under Leishmania donovani. RNAcentral describes it as "gene:LdHU3.36.2680(CDS-product:TLD_putative)". The record is from RNAcentral. Lineage: Eukaryota; Euglenozoa; Kinetoplastea; Trypanosomatida; Trypanosomatidae.